RNAcentral lists this ribosomal RNA (259 nucleotides) under uncultured bacterium. RNAcentral describes it as "partial 16S ribosomal RNA". It matches the Rfam family "Bacterial small subunit ribosomal RNA", at positions 524 to 776 of the family's 1533-position model. The record is from RNAcentral.
UACAGAGGUCUCAAGCGUUGUUCGGAUUCAUUGGGCGUAAAGGGUGCGUAGGUGGCAGGGUAAGUCGGAUGUGAAAUCCCGGGGCUCAACCUCGGAACUGCAUUCGAUACUGCUUUGCUUGAGUACUGGAGAGGAGAUUGGAAUUUACGGUGUAGCAGUGAAAUGCGUAGAUAUCGUAAGGAAGACCAGUGGCGAAGGCGGAUCUCUGGACAGUUACUGACACUGACGCUCAUGCACGAAAGCGUGGGGAGCAAACAGG